This 271-nucleotide unclassified non-coding RNA is filed under the name Hevea brasiliensis (rubber tree). The record is from RNAcentral. Lineage: Eukaryota; Viridiplantae; Streptophyta; Magnoliopsida; Malpighiales; Euphorbiaceae.
AAAAAAAAAAAAGAAAAAAAAGAUUAGUUCAAUCGGUAAUAAUGAGAGCCUCCCUUUCCUAUCAACCAGGUUUAACUUUAUUGAGUAGUGCUUUAUGAUGAUUAUUUAUCCUAGACCAAUAUAGAGAAGUGCACUCUUAAGAUCGUCCCCCUUUCUUAUCAAUCAAGUUCAACUUUAUUGAGGAGCACUUUAUAAUGAUUAUUUAUCCUAAAUGUAUAAGACCAAUAUUGAGAAGUGCACUCUUAAGAUCAUCCAUAAAAGAUAAUUUUAG